This 460-nucleotide ribosomal RNA is filed under the name uncultured bacterium. RNAcentral's name for it is "partial 16S ribosomal RNA". It matches the Rfam family "Bacterial small subunit ribosomal RNA", at positions 338 to 795 of the family's 1533-position model. The record is from RNAcentral.
CCUACGGGUGGCAGCAGUGAGGAAUAUUGGUCAAUGGACGAGAGUCUGAACCAGCCAAGUAGCGUGAAGGAUGACUGCCCUAUGGGUUGUAAACUUCUUUUAUAUGGGAAUAAACUGUUCCACGUGUGGGAUUUUGUAUGUACCAUAUGAAUAAGGAUCGGCUAACUCCGUGCCAGCAGCCGCGGUAAUACGGAGGAUCCGAGCGUUAUCCGGAUUUAUUGGGUUUAAAGGGAGCGUAGGUGGAGUGUUAAGUCAGUUGUGAAAGUUUGCGGCUCAACCGUAAAAUUGCAGUUGAAACUGGCAGUCUUGAGUACAGUAGAGGAGGGCGGAAUUCGUGGUGUAGCGGUGAAAUGCUUAGAUAUCACGAAGAACUCCGAUUGCGAAGGCAGUUCACUGGACUGCAACUGACACUGAGGCUCGAAAGUGUGGGUAUCAAACAGGAUUAGAUACCCCUGUAGUC